Non-coding RNA from Theobroma umbraticum, 3089 nucleotides. NCBI's taxonomy places the organism in Eukaryota, Viridiplantae, Streptophyta, Magnoliopsida, Malvales, Malvaceae. The record is from RefSeq and is a predicted model, not a curated record.
CGAGACUUGUCAAGAUCCCGGUCUCGCUCGCCCUUCUAUAGGCGUAAACAUUCGCCAUCUCCUGUAGGGCAUAGGUAUGGAAGGAGGAGCAGAAGGGACAGAAGCCGGUCGCCAUAUUCAUCUUAUUCGUAUAGCAGGUGAUCCCGUUUAUAUUCAUGCUAUUUAGGUUCAUUUUGUUCACAUGCAAGAACUUGUAAGGAAUAUUGUAAGAAAGAUUGGGAACUCUGGAAUUUGUCUUGCGGAUUGGGAAUACAAUUUCUUCAAGUUUAUCUGUACGCAGCCUAUACUUAUUUGUAUAUAUUUUUGGUGCUUCUUCAACUUUACUGGAAAGAUUAUGUAGUUUGCUUGGUCUUUACAAUUAUGAUUCCGUUUUUAAAAUCGGAUCCUCGCCAAGAAUCUGGCAAGGAGUGGCAAUUAGAUUAGUUGAAGGUGCUGGUGCAGUUGAGGAUGUGGCGUUGGCAUUUUCUUGAUCAGUGCUUUCAGUUUCACUUUUAUUGCAGUUGAACCUUUUGGUUGUCUACAUUUGGGUAUGUGUGAUUUUUCUGUUUAGAAUGGCAUCAAUGCCAUGACUUUGUUGAGCAUCUUCAUGGUUAUAGAUUUAUGUUUAAUGGCCACCAUUCUGAGUAUGAAGUGUUGCUGAAUUAUUUCAAUAAAGUUUGAUGGUUGUAUUGCUCGACUUCUUCUAAAUUAUCAACAUCUCAGUGGGCACCUGACAUGUGAGGAACUUUCCUUUUGCUUGGAAAAAUGGAAAUAUGCUAAAUUCAAAUACAUUUGGAGCAAAAUAUAGAGAGUGAGAUAGGAUGCAUGCUCUUUGUUAGAACAUUAAAGACAGUUUCUUCCCAUCACUUGAGAUGGGAAGUGAGCAGGUGAUGGGUGCCGAUGGGUUCCUUUCGUUGCUCGAUUCUGACAUUAUCUUCUUCGUGUCAUAAAUGAUGGAGCUCAAUGCAUAUCUUAACAAUGUUUGAGAAGGAAGAGUCGUUCUAUUAGUCCACGACGCCGCAAAAGUCGUUCUCCAACCGCAAGACGUCAUAAAAGUCGUUCUCCAACUCCAAAGCAUUUUAAGAGGCAAAGAAGUAGGAGUUCUUCAUUGUCUCCUACUCAUAAAUCAUCUAGCCCAAGUCUUGGGUUGAUAGAGCGCAAAAAUGCUAGUGAGAAAUUGAAAAAACAAGAGGAAGAGAAGAAAAGGUAUAUAAGAUAUUCUCAUCUUUUUGCAGGCUAUUUUAAUUUUUCUUUUACAGUUCUUUGGGAUCUUCUUGAAGUGUUUCCAGUCUACUUAAGUUUUGCUACACACAUUUGAUUUUCUGGAAGGUGAUAUACUACUGGAUAGUUUUUGUGAUAAAAUUUGAUAUUUUGUUUACUGGGAUGAUGUAAUACAACUCGUAUGGGAAAUUGGGAAGAUAGAAAGUGAGGGUCUCAAGUGGGUUGUUAGGUCUUGCAGUAAUCAAAACUCAUCUUCAGGCCUUCAAUGUUAGUCUUGAUGGGCGAAGAGCAUUUGUUGCAUGUACACCAACCACUUUUGCCUUUUCCUUACCUCCAUUGCUACUUAGUUUUAUGGCAUUUUACCAAGCGUAGUUGAUAAGCUUGUUAUGCAGGACAUGCAAUCAUGCAUCUACAUAGAAAAGUACUAAGAAAGAGACCAGAGAGAGAUUAUUAAUGUGCUUACCAUUGUGGUCUUGGAGAACACAAAAGGAAAAAUGUCUGCACUGUCAUGCUUCUUAACUUUGUUGCUUUUGUUAUCUACAGUGGUUGCCAUUUAAUGUUUUGAGUUGAACCAGUAUUAUUGAGUUAUGGAAUUGAAUUGAAACUGAGCUGUAGCUUUGGUGGCAAGGCAGGGGAGUCAUGCCUAGUCAUGUUAGGUUUAAGUCCUGAUUUUAUUUUAAUGUCUUACUGGAAAAUAAUUGCAUUAAAAUUUGCCUAGAAUGGGUAUUUAAAGUGAUAUGCCUAGCCCAUUUUUUAUGGAAAAUGUCUUGUAAUACUUAGAACUUAUGGUCUUAUUAUGUCAGUUACUUUCAAAUCAAUUAGUUGAACCUGCAGGUGUAAAAUCUUAUUUUCUGUUUGUCCUUGACUAUUUAUGUUCAUGUGCUGUUCUUAUGUUCACAUGGAAAUUGGGUUUUCAUGUGUUUGGGCCACCCAUUUCAGUCAUAACUGUUAUCAAUUUCAUACAGUUUUACUUAAAUAUCAGCAAUAAGCAUUAACAUACAUUUUUAAUUGAAAGGAUUCUGAUGGUAUGAAUGUAUAAUGAAUCAAUUAGUGGCUGGGAUUAAGAGCUUAAUUGAUAAUUGAAGACCUUUUUUGGAAACAAUUGAUAAUUGAUAAUUGAAGACCUUACGAAAUUUAUUUACUUCCAGUGAAUUAUUAUCGUAGAACAAUAAGCAUUAUUAUUUAGUUGUUACCCUUGUUAUUCCUUUCAUUGCCUUGGUGCCUUUAUUCACCACUUAUAAAAUUUUGAUGAUGUCUAUAAAAAGAUGUAAACUUUUUUGUCGAAAAUGUAUUUUGGUGCAAGGUUUGAAGUAUUAUGGUGAUUAAUAAAAUUGCAGCAAGGUACUUGACAUUCUUCUCCACAGGAUUUUCUGAAGGAAGUUACUGCUAUAAUUCAACAUGUUAUAUUUGAUGAUCUGAUUGGAUGCACGUUUAUCUACUGUUCACCAGUUUUGAAACUCUUUUGUUUGGAUCAGGUUCGAUUAGAGGUAUGCCUUAAAAGCAUAGCAUAUUUUAGUGCCUUUGUCGUCAUGAAGGUUAGUUUGCCCAUUUAUUAUAGUUACAUAGUGAAUCCAGAAAGAUGGUGAUAGAAAGAAAAAAAAAAUGGGAAAAAGGAACAUGGCUUGUCAGCUGCUUUUUAUGUAGUGUUGUCUGGAUGGAAAGACCUCUAUAAUGAAAGGUUGCAGCAUUUUUCCCCAAAUGCAUUGGUGUCAUUUUCCUGCUUGACAUUUUCUUUUCUUUUCCCAGGCGUCAACAGGAAGCUGAAUUGAAAUUGAUAGAAGAAGAGACCACAAAGAGAGUGGAAGAGGCAAUUCAGAAAAAGGUGGAAGAGAGCUUGAACUCUGAGGAACUCAAGCAGGAAAUUCAGAGGCGAUUAGAGGAGGGAAGGA